UCUAGAUUGUGUCGCCGCUCCCUGUGCCUCCACUCGUUGCCGAAUCAGCCCAUUGAAGCUCCUGCAAAAAUCGUCUCCUUCACGGCUUCACGACAUUCAGCCGACAACGGUGGCUCAUGCUCGGUGCUUCGCGUGUAGAGCUUACUUUGUCAAGGAUUAGCUGGUAUUCAGCCUGUUGACGUACCCAGGAUUGAAAAUGUUGAUGUAACACAAACCAUAGAAGGCCACUCUUCUUAUCUCUGGAAGAUAAAACAAAUCUUAGAGCAGCUUGAACUAGAUUAUUUCUACCCCAUUUUUAGCAGCACACAUUCCAAAUCCCAGCAAGAAAAAGCUUGUUAGUCUAGCUUUCACUUCUUUGGUUUGAUCUUACACUUCUACCCCUUUUCCUUUUCUCUGUUUUCUUCCUUCGAUGAACUUAAUCCUUCUGACUUCUCUCUUUUCCUUCCUUGAUAUAUAAUUUAUUCUCUCUGUAAUUAGCUUCUAAGUUGUCUGCACCAAUUAUCACAGAUAUGUCAAAUUAUGCCUCUCAAUUUGCAAUUAUUUGAGGAUGCUGAGAGGAGUGCAGUAGAUUACUUUGUACAAUACUUUGGUUGUAGUGGUCAAGUUCAAGGCUUCUUUGUACAAUAUAUGUAGAUUACUUUGA
Long non-coding RNA from Alnus glutinosa, 643 nucleotides. RefSeq lists it as uncharacterized. The transcript has 3 exons. NCBI's taxonomy places the organism in Eukaryota, Viridiplantae, Streptophyta, Magnoliopsida, Fagales, Betulaceae. The record is from RefSeq and is a predicted model, not a curated record.